RNAcentral lists this ribosomal RNA (253 nucleotides) under uncultured bacterium. RNAcentral describes it as "partial 16S ribosomal RNA". It matches the Rfam family "Bacterial small subunit ribosomal RNA", at positions 524 to 776 of the family's 1533-position model. The record is from RNAcentral.
UACGGAGGGUGCAAGCGUUAUCCGGAUUCACUGGGUUUAAAGGGUGCGUAGGUGGGCAGGUAAGUCAGUGGUGAAAUCUCCGGGCUUAACUCGGAAACUGCCAUUGAUACUAUCUGUCUUGAAUACCGUGGAGGUCAGCGGAAUAUGUCAUGUAGCGGCGAAAUGCUUAGAUAUGACAUAGAACACCAAUUGCGAAGGCAGCUGGCUACACGAAUAUUGACACUGAUGCACGAAAGCGUGGGGAUCAAACAGG